Molecule: long non-coding RNA, 489 nt
Organism: Rhipicephalus microplus (southern cattle tick)
Lineage: Eukaryota; Metazoa; Arthropoda; Arachnida; Ixodida; Ixodidae
Source: RefSeq, a predicted model, not a curated record
AUGUACCCAUAUCUGUAUGACAAGCGGCACCCUUCUUUUAAAGAUCGGACAAAGAAGGACCGGGCUUGGGCAGAUCGGAAGCAUGUUCGGCAUGUCGAGUGUCCUUGUUGAGAAACGAUUUAAGAACCUGCGUGAUAUCUUCAAAAGGAAACAACACGACAUACGUGAAAAAACAAAGAAGUGGAGCCGGAGCAGCCGACAUUCCAACAAUAAAAUGGCCUCAUUUUGAGGCCAUGCUUGAAUUAAUGGAAGGAGAGUCUGAGCCUGUGGCCAGCCACAUCACAGCAGAAGAGGCUAACGAGAGGUGAGCAUGCACAAAAAUUUUCGGUACCAUGUGCAUGCACUUGAAGCUGUACAUGCAUGGACUUGAACCUAGAAACAUUAUUUUUUAUUACUAGGUGAUUGUACUUUGCAAAAUUAUCAAAAAUACAAGCGUGCUUGAAAGGCGGUGUUCAGGUUGUUAGCUUGCCCAAACCACUGCAUUUUUUU